Molecule: ribosomal RNA, 217 nt
Filed under: uncultured bacterium
Lineage: Bacteria
Description: partial 16S ribosomal RNA
Rfam family: Bacterial small subunit ribosomal RNA
Source: RNAcentral
CGUCUCAGUUCAGAUUGCAGGCUGCAACUCGCCUGCAUGAAGUCGGAAUUGCUAGUAAUCGCAGAUCAGCGUGCUGCGGUGAAUACGUUCCCGGGCCUUGUACACACCGCCCGUCACACCAUGGGAGUCGGUAACACCCGAAGUCGGUAGCCUAACCGUAAGGAGGGCGCCGCCGAAGGUGGGAUUGAUGACUGGGGUGAAGUCGUAACAAGGUACC